GGCGCCAAAGCCAGGGAACAAGCUAAGAACAGGGGCUGUAUCCCUGGCGGUAAUAGCUUGCUAACGACUGGCCUUAGUCGGGUUGAUUCGAGGAUGAAGUCGUUAUCCGCCCUUUUUAAAGUUAUGUUGGCUGCCAACCGCCUUCACAAACACCAACAUGCAUACGCCCAAACAACCAGUUUUGCUAAGUAUUUAUAGAUUUGUCUACUCCGAACUGCGUGCAAUCUUGAAGCUGAAAAAGCACCAAAAUGCUAACCUGCCUACCCCAGAGCGAGCCCCUGGAUUUCAAAGCCACAGACUGUCCGUCAGCACUAAAAGUGGCGAUGUGAUGUGACUGGCACAACAUACCAGGAUUUGCAUCCAUGAAUUAGUGGGUUGCGCGGGAACGAAACACUUUCCUUCUAUCAAGCUGCCCAAAAAUCUCCAUGGAAUAUGAGAGGGCUAUCCAUUGGUCAAUAUUUUCGGGGCUUGACACGGUAUUUCAUGCCAAACACCCUCAGCUUGCGUCCGUGGCUGCCCUAAUUUUCGAGAAUCCUAUUAAUACGUUUGAGAUAUCCCCC
This 560-nucleotide small RNA is filed under the name Histoplasma capsulatum. RNAcentral's name for it is "hypothetical RNA". Lineage: Eukaryota; Fungi; Ascomycota; Eurotiomycetes; Onygenales; Ajellomycetaceae. RNAcentral also lists the same sequence under 1 other name. The record is from RNAcentral.